RNAcentral lists this long non-coding RNA (2941 nucleotides) under Marmota monax (woodchuck). The record is from RNAcentral. Lineage: Eukaryota; Metazoa; Chordata; Mammalia; Rodentia; Sciuridae.
UUUUUUUGCCUUUAUGACCUAAAAACUCAUCCCGGCCGCUCCUUGGAUACAUUCAUAGGCUGGUCUUGACCCUCACAGAGAGGGACCACCAGGGGAUGGGAUCAUAUGUGUCCACUGGUUCUCCACACUGGCUAUCAGUUACCUCUCCUUUCCUUAGACAUUUGCCUCCUUCUGACUCCUACCACAUUCAGGGGUUAUUACUUACUAAAUUGAUUUUUUUUUUUACUGAUCCCCAGUAGUUAAAGCCCUAGCAAUGUCUGUUCAUUCCCUUCCGUUUUUAUAUAAUGAUUCCACUGUAGAUAGUAGCAAUUUAAAACAGAAAUAAAACUCACUCCCCUGUUUUCACUGUAAGGUUUGCUGUCAUAUAAUAGAAGCCUGGUGUCCACAUUUUCAUGGAGGCCCUAACUCAUUCCUUGGUUCCAUUCACCUCUCUUAUUUAACUUUCUUUUCUUCCUUUCAUAUCCAACUGACCUAAGAGAGUAGUGAACACCCAGUACCUCUGCUCCUGCACCUUCCAAUACCCCUUUCCUCGCUGCAUUCCUUCUGCCCUGGUAUCUGGCUCCUAUCCACAGCUCUCCACUGUCGUUGUCCUUGGUAAUGUCAUUCUUCAUAAUGUAGAUGAUGAGCCUGGGGAUGUGGUGGUGCACAUCUGUAAUCCCAGCUGCUUAGGAGGCUGAGGUGGGAGGAUGGAAAGUUGGAGGCCAGCCUGGGCAACUUAGUGAGAUCUUGCUUCAAAAUAAAGAAUAAAAAGGACUGGGUAUGGAGCUCAGUGGUAGAGCCCUGGGUUCCACCCUGGGUACCACCAUCAAUCAAUACAAGUUGAUCACUUCUCUCGUACCCCUCCUUUCUUUCUUGAAGGACACCAUUCAGCCUUGAUCCACCUCCCCCUUGUUCAAUGCACCUCCUCCAAUAUUGCUACACAAGUCUCACUGUUAGACUUCACAUAUUUUUACUCUGCUGCUGUCUCCAGGUGAGCUCAUCCUAUUUAGAUCAGGGGCAUCCCUUCUCUUUGUGCACUCCCCAUUUAUGUCAGUACCGUGUACUUAGUCUCAUUGCACCCAUAUAUUGAAACACUUCUCCUGUUUAUCAGGGGAGUGGAAUAUUCCUAGGUCUCUCUCUCUCUCUCUCUCUCUCUCUCUCUCCCCCCCCCCCACCACUGGAGUGCUUGAGUAGAACCCAGAGGCUCACACAUGCUAGGCAAGCACCCUACCACUGACCUACCCUCCCAGCCCUAGAUAAUGUUACAUAACACAUCCACAGUGUCCAACAGGCAUUUGAUGAAUAGCAACAUUAGGAAAAUUGCUAAAAUCUCUACUCCCAAAGUCUGCUCUAUUUCCUUGUUUCCUUCAUUCAUUCCUCUGGGGUGCAGUUUAGCUGGGGACAGGCCCAGGUAUUUGGCUUAGCAUAGAUCAAAGUGACCUAAUGGGAAAUAGCUUAGCAUAAUUCUCUAACCAAGUCAUAAAAGUACCUAUUGUCCUGUCCAAACACCAAAUUACAUGUGAGGUCAUUCAGAGUCCGGAAGAUGGUUGCUGUGAUAAGGACUGAGACAUUCUUGAUCAAGUGGGAACUGGUAUUUGUGAGCAUAUUCUGCAUUAAUAACUCACCAAAGCCAAGUUCUUAAGUUGAAGUGGCUAACAAGUGUCUUCUAAUGAGCUGAACUCUUCCACUUACAGUGUGGCCACCCUCCUAUCAGUUGACAACCAUCUCCUGUUGACCUUGGGUGGACUGCAAAUGGGCCUUGAAAGAUUUUAGCCAUUAAGUGAGGCUGAUAAAACCUCGUGAAGAUUGGCAAGUUUAUGUUGGCCCCAAGGUCUCUUAAAGGUCCUUUUUAAUAUCUUUAAAUUUUGAGCUUUAUCAACAUGAUCUUGAGAUCUGUCUAAGGCAUCAUGCCAAACCUAAUGAAGACUUUACUAGGUAUGAUCAACUGAAAGCCCUCAGGACCCCACACAAGGUAUAUUAAAAACACACACACACACAAACAAUCAAUAAAUGUGCCAAGGACCUGAACAGACACUUCUCAGAAGAUGAUUUACAAUCAAUCAACAAAUAUAUGAAAAAAUGUUCAUCAUUGCUACCAAUUAGAUGCCGUAGUCCGGCUGCAGCAAAAUAACCGGGGGGUGACGAACAACUUGUGUAGAUUGAUACAGCAGGAGUGGAAGCCGUUUACUGCAGGACAGGAGCGGUAUUUAUACAUUCCACUCAGCUUAUCUAAUUAGCAUAAACUAGAUACAUCAGUCAACCAAUAAGAAAUCUCCACACUUAAUGGCUCGCUGGCGUAACUUCACAAACCACUCCCUCUGGCAAAAUGCCAGGUGCCAUCCAGACUGUUUACAGACUCUAACAUUUGCCAGGUGCCAUCCUGACUUGUUUACAGACUCUAACAAUUAGAGGAAUGCAAAUCAAAACUACUCUAAGAUAUCAUCUCAGUCCAGUCAGAAUGACAGCUAUUAUGAAGACAAACAACAAUAAGUGUUGGUGAGGAUGUGGGAGAAAAGGCACACUUACAUCUGCUGGUGGGACUGCAAAUCGGUGCAGCCAAUAUGGAAAGCAGUAUGGAGAUUUCUUGGAAAAUUGGGAAUGGAACCACCAUUUGACCCAGCUAUCCCUCUCCUAGGUCUAUAUCUAAAGGACUUAAAAACAGCAUACUGCAGGGACACAGCCACAUCAAUGUUUAUAGCAGCACAAUUCAAAAUAGCUAACUGUGGAACCAACCUAGAUGCCCUUCAAUAGAUGAAUGGAUAAAAAAAUGUGACAUAUAUACGCAGUGGAAUAUUACUCAGCAAUAAAAGAGAAUAAAAUCAUGGCAUUUGGAGGUAAAUGGAUGGAGUUAGAGAAGAUAAUGCUAAGUGAAGUUGGCCAAUCCCAAAUAACCAAAUGUUGAUUUUUUUCCUCUGAUAUAAGGAGACUGAUUCAUAGUGGGGUAGGGAGGGGGAGCAUGGAG